RNAcentral lists this long non-coding RNA (1170 nucleotides) under Suricata suricatta (meerkat). RNAcentral's name for it is "lncRNA (ENSSSUG00005012132.1)". Lineage: Eukaryota; Metazoa; Chordata; Mammalia; Carnivora; Herpestidae. The record is from RNAcentral.
UAUUCCCUGACACUCCCAGGGUGCCCCAUGCGAGGUCUGUGACCCCAGGGAGGACCCCAGGAUCCUGGCCCAAGGGGAGACAGACCUUCCCAGACCUAAGAGGCCAGGAUGGAGCCAGAGAUACAGACAGGGGGCUCGGAGACCCUAGGACACAGAACAGUGAAGAGCCCGAGGCUAUUUGGGGGCUGCACUGGAGAUGGGGUGUCUGCAAUGGGUUUUGAAGUAUGAAUAAGAGAUUCUGGGGGGAGACAGUCUCUCCAGCCGGAGGAACGCCUACACCCCCCGACUCAUUUAAUCUGCAAACGACUGUGAGACGGAAGCGCUGUCACCUCACAGACGGGCAGACUCUGCAGAAAGUGAGAGCCGGCCCCUGUCCUCGUGGGCACAGAGCAAGCUGGACCCCCGCCGGGCACAGCGCCCCGCGUGGGGAGUACGUCAGGAGCUUGUGCCCCACUGCGUCUACACGACCCCGCUCCGGGGGCAGAGAUCGGGCUUGGGAGGGGCACGAGACUGGCCCGGAGUCCUGCCGGCGCGGCGUGUCUGUGACCGGGCAUGCACUCAGUCAUUGUGGGCUCGCCAGGCUCGGCAACUGGCAGGUGCCACCUCGCACGGUCCUCAGAACCUCUGCAGUCCCAUUCCACAACAUGGCAGGGCAGCCGGCAGAGCUGGGGCGUCCCUCGCCCCUCAAGACCUUCAUGAAGGAAGGGACGGCACCGCCUCGAAUGGCAGGGCCCCGAGAGGCCGAGCCGCACCUGCUGUCCCCUUGGCCCCCCGUUCCACAUCCAGGAAUCCCGUCCUGGCGUUGGAUGGCCCAACCAACGACGUCAGCUGCAAUGAUCCUAUUCUGGAAUGCUGAGAUUUGAUUAAAGCGCUUCCCCCACGGACGCCACUGUCACACGCAAGGUGCAACUGGAACCUGCUUCAGAAGCCGCGGCGUGGAGGGGGUCCUGGGGUCAGGGGAGGGACAGAGGGCCAGGGCCCCGAGGGCUCCCCUCCCGGCUUGUGACGGGAUCAAAAGAGGUGUCCGCUGCACACUGCCCCCCCCACGCGUGCACGUGGGUUUUCCGGGGCAGGUGGAGACAGGAGACAGGACAGCUGUCUCGCCGUGACCCCGCAGCAGCUGCCUGGCCCCCCGGCGCAGGGUGAGGUGCGCGGGUGCAGAGACGCGGG